UACGGAGGGUGCAAGCGUUAAUCGGAAUUACUGGGCGUAAAGCGCGCGUAGGUGGUUUAGUCAGUCAGAUGUGAAAGCCCUGGGCUCAACCUAGGAAUUGCACCUGAUACUGCUAGGCUAGAGUACAGUAGAGGGGAGUGGAAUUUCCUGUGUAGCGGUGAAAUGCGUAGAUAUAGGGAGGAAGACCAGUGGCGAAGGCGACUCUCUGGACUGAUACUGACACUGAGGUGCGAAAGCGUGGGGAGCAAACAGG
RNAcentral lists this ribosomal RNA (253 nucleotides) under uncultured bacterium. RNAcentral describes it as "partial 16S ribosomal RNA". It matches the Rfam family "Bacterial small subunit ribosomal RNA", at positions 524 to 776 of the family's 1533-position model. The record is from RNAcentral.